Molecule: long non-coding RNA, 322 nt
Filed under: Elaeis guineensis (African oil palm)
Lineage: Eukaryota; Viridiplantae; Streptophyta; Magnoliopsida; Arecales; Arecaceae
Description: long non-coding RNA (EGUI_LNC014112)
Source: RNAcentral
UGAAACUUAAUAUACCUUCACUCUCAAAUAAUUAAAGAAACAAAGUCUUCAAUUAAUACUCCAUGCUUUUGUUGCACACUCUGAUCUAAACCCACCAAAGUUAUCUAGGUUGACUAAAUUACUUCUAACCAAGGGACAACUUUAUACUAGAAUUUGAGAAGACCAAAAAUGACUCAUGACUAGGUCAAACCAACUAGUCAUAUCUUGAGGCACAAAAGAUCCAGCCUUCGACACUCAACCCUACAAAUCAUUCCUUAUCACAAUCUCUGGUGAUCUUAAACAUAUUCUCUGUACACUUCUGUCACGUCUGAACCCGUCACCU